GGGGGGGGGGAGUUUUGGCACCGGAGGAGGAUUGCUAGAGCCCGCCGAGGUGCGCUGAGCCCUCCCAGGGAGGAGCCCGUCCCGGCACGCCGGCUGCGGCGCCAUGGCAGCAGGAAGCCAGAAGAAAGUAUCUACUGUUGAUCAAGGGAUCUUUGAACUCACUGAAUUCUUGAUUGUAUUCAGUCAUUGUUCGUGGUAUUAAUCCUACUAAAAGGUAUAGAGACGCUCCAGAGUGCUUUGUGGUGUUGAAGGUUGCGGAAAGAUCAUUGUACCCCUACAGAUGAAUAGGUCUGUGGCUCUUGCAGUGACCUUUCUCAGUGAUUUGAAUAAGCUGCAGUUCCCAGAAAUCCAUCUGCCUUUUGUGUUUGUCGAUUUGUCUAAUCUUUCCGACCCCUAAAAGAAGCAAAAAGUACCUUCCCAUCCGAUUUCAUCCUCCCGAGUAAAAGCGUUAAAUUGACCUCAUUUCAGGUGAUGAAGUGACAUUUGCUGAAAGUGAUCCUGGCAUCAGGCGAGCUUUCCCAGGGCGGGGGGGCUGGGGGGGGUGGUGUAAAGAGGGAGGCAGAGGAUAGCUGCCCCAGAAAUCUCUUACUAACUCUAAAAGUAGUACCUUAAAACACCAACAAGUAGCCCGGACCAUACAGCCCGGGAGUGCGGUGCUGAACACGAGGAACAUUAUGUGCACUGAAGGUGAACAUCCCCAGGCCCUGCUGCCCCAGUCCAACCUGACUGGGAGCGCAAAGCAGGGGAGGAGAAGCAGGAACCAAAACCGAGGGAGACGCUGCUUUCCCUUCUGUUUGCUUUCUUAUUUUGCUAAAGGAAAAAAAUCUUAUCUGUAGGUUUCCUGGGAACAGAUUAGGGUAGCCAGGCUCCUCCUGAUGUGAAGUGUUUCCCUGGUUUUCUAGUAACCUAUCAAAACUUAACCAGCAUAGUAUAUCUCAACCUAUGUCUCAGAUAACCUUACAGGGGGAAAUUACUACAAGUGAAUUUAAGUUUAGAUUUAUUUAGGUGAGCAGACAUACACAGACAUAAUAUGAAUACAUAUUAUAUAUAUAUCUCUCUCUCCAUACACAUCCACACACAUCCCUUUCUUCAUGCUUUCUAUAUUAAGGAAAUAAUACACAUAUCCUUUAUGGUUUGUUUUAAUGUCAGUAGCUGCGACUAUCAGCAAAGGAUCCUGUUAAAAAAAAAAGCCCAAUGAACUAAAACUUAUUUUAGUGAAGUUUGUGUUUAAGAAUAAUGAUUUUCUUGUAGAAUUCUUUUCUUCUGCCUAGGCACUUUUUUCCCUCCUUGAAUGGCAGAUUUGCAAGUACAAUUUCAUCUGCACAGAGGAACAAUAGCUUUCAGUUGCACAAAGGAUUUCUCCCACCCUGAAUCCAAACCACAAUGCCUCUUGCUCUGAUAAUAGCUUCUGAAAAGAUUUUGUAAUGCACAGAAUUAAUACAUGAUUAUUUCCGCCUCACUUCUCUCAUUUAUUAGAUUCUAUAGUGAAUUCCAAAUUAAAAAUAGCACCUCUUGAGUUUUUUAAUGUUCUAAUAUUUUGAAACAAAUCAUAUUCUGAAGUUCCUCUUUUUGCCCGUUUACUAAGAAAUCUGCAUUUUUUAAUUAUUGCUCCAAAACAAAACUGUGUAAUAUAAAUGUAAAAAUCAAGGCAUGCAAAAAUUGCAAAAAAUUAUAAGGUCACAUUGUUUUAAAAUGAAUUGUAGUGCUUUUUCCUUUGCAAACUGGAAGAGAGGUUGGGUGCAGUAACCGGCAAACUGGGUUUUAAAUCAGGAGUAUCUUUUUAAAUUUAUGAAGCAAAACAAAACCUCAACUUCAGUUAGAGUUUUGCUUUAGCAAGGACCAGAAUUGGGCCCUGUGUCCUAAAGGAAAUAAUGAAGUGUAAUUCUCCUGAGACAUCUGGAAGGUGAGCUUUCACAUCACUGCAUAGGGAGCUCCUCUCUGCUCUUACAAAGACUUUCUCCCACACUUCCAACAUAGGUGUGAGAACUUAUUUACAUGAAAGUGUGCAUUAAAUAUUUACUGACAUUUGCCUGGAAUUCGUUUGAAAUGUCGGCUGUUCUGCUGCAUCAUGGGAUGACACCGCGGAACGGGAUGCUGCUCUUUGAUUAGAACAGUGAUUUGUGACUCCAGCGUUGUGGCUGCUCUAGUUACUGACUCACUUUUGGGUGUAUAUAAAAUGCGUUGUCGAGGGACUGGGAAAGCCUACAUGAGAUCAGAUCCUAAGCAUUUUUUCUUCCCUCUUAAAAAGAAAAAAACAAAGAAACAACCACAAGCCCUCACAGAAGUGGUGUACUUCAAGCAAACACUGUUGAGUCUAAGUGGUAGGUGUAAUGUUGUUCUGAGACAGGGUAACUCUUUGCCUUCUAGCAUUUAAGCUCAGGCCGGGCCGUUUCAAAGCAAGUAAAGACUGGCUGAACAUCUCCAAAGCCUCCAUAUUUAGAGUCACUUCCUAAGACAUCCAUUUAGGAAUUAGUUGUUUUUCCUUCACUGGGACUCUGUGAUACUACACAAUUUUCCAAGGAGAAAAUCAUUCAGAGGAAUGUCAAUAUAUUCUGUUAUAUAAAGUUUAAAAAAUGCAUAGUUACAUGUAGCUGAGUUUAA
Harpia harpyja (harpy eagle) is the source of this 2601-nucleotide long non-coding RNA. RefSeq lists it as uncharacterized. The transcript is spliced from 2 exons. Lineage: Eukaryota; Metazoa; Chordata; Aves; Accipitriformes; Accipitridae. The record is from RefSeq and is a predicted model, not a curated record.